Molecule: unclassified non-coding RNA, 428 nt
Filed under: uncultured Mycena
Lineage: Eukaryota; Fungi; Basidiomycota; Agaricomycetes; Agaricales; Tricholomataceae
Description: sequence contains ITS2
Rfam family: 5.8S ribosomal RNA (bases 1-154)
Source: RNAcentral
AACUUUCUGCAAUGUAUCUCUUGGCUCUCCCAUCGAUUAAGAACGCAGCGAAAUGCGAUAAGUAAUGUGAAUUGCAGAAUUCAGUGAAUCAUCGAAUCUUUGAACGCACCUUGCGCCCUUUGGUAUUCCGAAGGGCAUGCCUGUUUGAGUGUCAUUAAAUUCUCAACCUUGCAAGCUUGCUUGCGAGGCUUGGAUGUGAGGGUUUUUGCUGGCUUCCUUUUAGUUGGAUGGUCUGCUCCCUUUAAAUUCAUUAGUGGGAUCCUUUGUGGAUGGUCACUUGGUGUGAUAAUUAUCUACGCCGUCUGACUCUGAAACAAGACUUGUGGGGACCUGCUUAUAACCGUCUCUUCGGAGACAAUCUUUGACAAUUUGACCUCAAAUCAGGUAGGACUACCCGCUGAACUUAAGCAUAUCAAUAAGCGGAGGCU